GCCUGGUUAUAUCAGUCGGUAGAUAGUUUGACUCUUACCCCACCCCUCCGGGUCUUGUUAGGAUAUCAAAAUGUCAUGGGUUCGAGCCCCAUACUAGGCU
This is a non-coding RNA of Apiotrichum porosum, 100 nucleotides long. The record is from the annotation of a RefSeq genome assembly. Lineage: Eukaryota; Fungi; Basidiomycota; Tremellomycetes; Trichosporonales; Trichosporonaceae.